AUAUUCCUUUUGGCAAUAUUCCUUUUGAAAAUGUUCGUUUUGAAAAUGUUCGUUUUGAAAAUGUCCGUCGUUCAGAUUUUUUUUUUUUUUAUUAUUUUUGAUACUUGUAAAGUAGGUAAAUAUGUAAUAAAAGGAUAACUAUCUUCUACAAAUUUUUUUAUCAUUUUAUUUGAUAAAUUAUAAGGUGACAUUUUUAAAUCAUUUAAUGUUUGUACAUAAAAAAAAUCUAUGAAAAUGAAAUAAAGAAAUAGGUGAUUUUGUUUCAUUGAGUAACUCUUUUUUUAUUUUGUUUAUAUUUACAAAUAUUUUUUUAUCUACUUUGAUUUGAUUUUUGUUGGAAGAAUUAAUAAGAUUGGUUUGAUUAUUAUUGUAAAAUUUUUGUAAUUGUUCAUAUGCAUGUACAGAAUUAAGCACAUUUUUUAUAUUUUUAUUACUACAAUUCAGAUGUAAUAAUGCAGUAUUCGCUUUCUUCACAGUAUGCUCUUUUUUCUUUUUUUUCUUAAGAAUGCAUAUUUUUUUUUUUUAUUUCUUCGAUAACCCGCUCCGGUUCUGCUUUUUUUUGUUCUACUACCGUAUGUUUUGCUACCGUAUCUUCUACUACCGUAUCUUCUACUACCGUAUCUUCUACUACUGUAUCUUCUACUACCAUAUCUUUUACUACUGUAUCUUUUACUACUGUAUCUUCUACUACCGUAUCUUUUACUACCGUAUCUUCUACUACCGUAUCUUUUACUACCGUAUGUUUUGCUACCGUAUGUUUUGCUACCGUAUGUUUUGCAUGAUCAGAAUUAUGAUUUAUGAGUUCUAAAUUGGUAAACGGUGUUUGCAUUUGUUCUAAUUCUACACUAUCGGUUGCAACGUUCGGAAGUUGUAGUGAUUGUGGUUGUGGUUGUGGUUGUGGUUGUGGUUGUGGUUGUGGUUGUGGUGGUUGUAGUGGCGAUGCAUCAAUUUUGUCAUUCAAUGUGUGUUUUUCAUCAAUUUUUCAUUUAAAGUGUGGUUUAAUUUAUCACAUGUAGUUAUAUUUAUGUAAUAA
This 1033-nucleotide long non-coding RNA is filed under the name Piliocolobus tephrosceles (Ugandan red Colobus). RNAcentral describes it as "lncRNA (ENSPTEG00000016885.1)". The record is from RNAcentral. Lineage: Eukaryota; Metazoa; Chordata; Mammalia; Primates; Cercopithecidae.